RNAcentral lists this transfer RNA (98 nucleotides) under compost metagenome. RNAcentral describes it as "tRNA-Ala". The record is from RNAcentral.
GACUGGGCCUGGCGCGGGGUCCUGAGGGGCGUCGCGUCUGCGCCGCGACGCCGCCCGGGGUGAAGCGGCCUCGGCAGGACGCCUCUGUCGCACGGUCU